GUGCCUUUUUGUUAGUUGCUUUUAAGCAGUAAAACCCUCCUUGUUACUCUAUCUUGCUUUGACCUGCUUGCAGCCUGCACUAGCUUUUAAGCAGUCUCACCAACCUUCUAGGUGUACAUCGUCGUCAAUUAAUUCUCCAGCACCAACACCUGUUAUUGGCUAUCACUAGUGACGUUGGAUUGAGAAUAUUCAAAACCGGCAAUUUGCAUCAAUUACACUCAUACUCUUCAAGAAAAUACAGGGUUUUGAUUUCUCUAAUUGUCAAUCCUCAUCCAAGAUCGGAUUUUGAAGCCUGGGAAAUGCGUCAAGGCCUUUUAAAGAGCUUGUUCUCUUCUGACCCUGCCGCUUCAUAUAGGUUCAACUGGUAAUCUACCUCUUCCAAUCAUCCAAAAGAGGCUCCCAGAAGAUCAGCAUUAGCAGCCACCUAUAAAUCGAUCCUUGGGAGGUACCAAAUUCCGCUUAUCCAAGAACCAACUCAGGACAAGAAAACAACACUAAGAAUUCAAUUUACCAAGUACUGCAGCCUCCAAAACCCAUCUAACCUUCACCAUUUGUUGAACUAACCCAGACCCAAAGCUGCACUGAACAAUACCAAAGCUCUAGGUUCUGAUCAGUCUGCUACAAGACUACGGGAACUCAGAAAAUACAUUCGAGCUAAACCAGGCACACUUCAGGUCUGAUCGGGUCAACAGAUGAAGUGUAGCCCCGGAGAUCUAUUCAACUCGAGGGAUCGGUGGGGGAUUCUUUACUCUCCCUGUGCUGGUUUCAUAAAUACGUGCUGGUGAUGACUGGAAAGUGCUGCAAAGGGUGUUGAAGCAUGCUUGAUGUGUGAAAAUUAUAGUUUGUAAAAGACUAGUUUAUACAAAAGUUGACCUCAAUUGACUUUUCUAGUUUUUUGGUUGGUUUUUGUAGUUUUGCAUAGGUAACUGGAGCUUAUUUUUGAACUGUUAUAUCAGAUGGAAAACUUAAGUGUAACACGCGCUAAUUGUUGAACUAUUAUAGCAGAUGUGCAAAUUUUAUGAGAUUUUCGAAAUGAAUGCACAUAUUUGUGUAAAAGAA
This is a long non-coding RNA of Spinacia oleracea (spinach), 1059 nucleotides long. RefSeq lists it as uncharacterized. The record is from RefSeq and is a predicted model, not a curated record. The transcript has 4 exons. Lineage: Eukaryota; Viridiplantae; Streptophyta; Magnoliopsida; Caryophyllales; Amaranthaceae.